Molecule: long non-coding RNA, 331 nt
Organism: Canis lupus familiaris (dog)
Lineage: Eukaryota; Metazoa; Chordata; Mammalia; Carnivora; Canidae
Exons: 3
Source: RefSeq, a predicted model, not a curated record
AGUGGGAUCCAUCUUAAGUUAAGACUCUAGCCAACCCGAGAAAAUUCGGCCACACAAGAGAGAUAGGAUCCCAGCCUUCAGAAUUUAUUGCAAAAUUUUGGAUUCAUUUUAUGGAAAUCAAAAAACAGGUGGGAAUAUGGGAAGCCUGGAGACACAAAUGACCUGACAGAAACAAAAACAAGAUCCGCUUCAGAUGUUGCGGUUUUCUUGACUUCAGCUCCUAUUUUCCUGCCACGUGAAAAUGCCAACAUGUCAUUUGGGAGAUUUCACGGAGAGCCAGAGUGGAGGACGCAGCUCAUCUGCUGAGACGUCACCCUGAGGAGUGAUUUAA